Molecule: ribosomal RNA, 587 nt
Filed under: uncultured bacterium
Lineage: Bacteria
Description: bacterial SSU rRNA
Rfam family: Bacterial small subunit ribosomal RNA
Source: RNAcentral
CCUACGGGAGGCAGCAGUGGGGAAUAUUGGACAAUGGGCGCAAGCCUGAUCCAGCCAUGUCGCGUGAGUGAUGAAGGCCUUAGGGUUGUAAAGCUCUUUUGUCCGGGACGAUAAUGACGGUACCGGAAGAAUAAGCCCCGGCUAACUUCGUGCCAGCAGCCGCGGUAAUACGAAGGGGGCUAGCGUUGCCCGGAAUCACUGGGCGUAAAGGGCGCGUGGGCGGCCUGAUAAGUCGGGGGUGAAAGCCUGUGGCUCAACCACAGAAUUGCCUUCGAUACUGUUAGGCUUGAGUAUGGUAGAGGUUGGUGGAACUGCGAGUGUAGAGGUGAAAUUCGUAGAUAUUCGCAAGAACACCGGUGGCGAAGGCGGCCAACUGGACCAUUACUGACGCUGAGGCGCGAAAGCGUGGGGAGCAAACAGGAUUAGAUACCCUGGUAGUCCACGCCGUAAACGAAUGAAUAGCCACGCUGUUGGGGUUGGGCGUUGUCGACCUCCACGUAAGUCGCAGCUAACCGACCAUUAAAGUACAUUCCGCCUCGGGGAGGUACGGUCGGCAAGAAUUAAAACUUAAAAGGAAAGUUAGACGG